This 254-nucleotide ribosomal RNA is filed under the name uncultured bacterium. RNAcentral describes it as "partial 16S ribosomal RNA". It matches the Rfam family "Bacterial small subunit ribosomal RNA", at positions 524 to 777 of the family's 1533-position model. The record is from RNAcentral.
UACGUAGGGUGCAAGCGUUGUCCGGAAUUAUUGGGCGUAAAGAGCUCGUAGGCGGUCUGUCGCGUCGGCUGUGAAAACCCGGGGCUCAACCCCGGGCCUGCAGUCGAUACGGGCAGACUAGAGUGCGGUAGGGGAGACUGGAAUUCCUGGUGUAGCGGUGAAAUGCGCAGAUAUCAGGAGGAACACCGGUGGCGAAGGCGGGUCCCUGGGCCGUAACUGACGCUGAGGAGCGAAAGCAUGGGUAGCGAACGAGG